This 301-nucleotide ribosomal RNA is filed under the name uncultured bacterium. RNAcentral describes it as "partial 16S ribosomal RNA". It matches the Rfam family "Bacterial small subunit ribosomal RNA", at positions 509 to 807 of the family's 1533-position model. The record is from RNAcentral.
CAGUCGCCGCGGUAAUACGAAGGGUGCAAGCGUUACUCGGAAUUACUGGGCGUAAAGCGUGCGUAGGUGGUGGUUUAAGUCCGUUGUGAAGGCCCUGGGCUCAACCUGGGAAUUGCAGUGGAUACUGGGUCACUAGAGUGUGGUAGAGGAUAGUGGAAUUUCUGGUGUAGCAGUGAAAUGCGUAGAGAUCGGAAGGAACAUCUGUGGCGAAGGCGACUAUCUGGGCCAACACUGACACUGAGGCACGAAAGCGUGGGGAGCAAACAGGAUUAGAUACCCCAGUAGUCCCUGUCUCUUAUAC